RNAcentral lists this ribosomal RNA (292 nucleotides) under uncultured bacterium. RNAcentral describes it as "partial 16S ribosomal RNA". It matches the Rfam family "Bacterial small subunit ribosomal RNA", at positions 505 to 796 of the family's 1533-position model. The record is from RNAcentral.
GUGUCAGCCGCCGCGGUAAUACGAAGGGUGCAAGCGUUACUCGGAAUCACUGGGCGUAAAGCGUGCGUAGGCGGUUCGUUAAGUCUGCUGUGAAAGCCCUGGGCUCAACCUGGGAACUGCAGUGGAUACUGGCGGACUAGAGUGUGAUAGAGGAUGGUGGAAUUCCCGGUGUAGCGGUGAAAUGCGUAGAGAUCGGGAGGAACACCAGUGGCGAAGGCGGCCAUCUGGAUCAACACUGACGCUGAGGCACGAAAGCGUGGGGAGCAAACAGGAUUAGAAACCCUAGUAGUCC